Molecule: non-coding RNA, 2538 nt
Organism: Phascolarctos cinereus (koala)
Lineage: Eukaryota; Metazoa; Chordata; Mammalia; Diprotodontia; Phascolarctidae
Source: RefSeq, a predicted model, not a curated record
CUCUCUCUCUCUCUCUCUUUCUUCUUCUCUCCCUGUAUCUUGUAGUAGGGUGUAUGCUCCGCAGGGGCAGGGACCACAUCUCAUCUAAACUGUGGAAUGAAUUCUUUGAUGAAGGUAGGGUGAACACUAUCUCAUAACAAUGCCCUGGGCCGGGCUGGCCCAGUGGGGACAGGGCAGGAGAGAAUUUCAGUUAGAUACUGUAGAAAGAGUGCUAGCUCUGAAGUCAGAGAGCCUGGGUUCAAAUCCUGCCACAUGGGGAAGCCCCUCCACCUUGCUGGGUUUCAGUUUCUUUGGACUAGACCCUCUAAGGACCUUUCCUCCUCUAGAGCCAGGAUCUCAUUCUCUAUGGAUGGUUUGGGGAAGACACUUGACUGUAUUGGGCCUCAGUUUCCUGGUCUAGAAGAUGAAGGGGUUGGAUUGGACAACCGCUAGGGUCCCGGCCAGCUAGCUUUAAGGUCACGUCUUCCUGGGGCCACGAAGUAUGAUUCCCCCAGCCUCCUAGCCUCAGUAUCCUCUUCCCAGGGCAGCUGGCCAGCGGAGCCGAGGUGCCCGGCACAAUGACGGCAUUGUGGAGGCUUGAGAGCUUGGGGGAGGAGGGGAUCAAAGCCUGGAGUUACAGCGGGAGGUGUCCUGGGAGCCCAGGAGAGCAGGGAUAAAAACCGGCAGCUUCCUGCCAUUGCAGCAGGGCUCUGGAAGGACAGCAAGUCCUGACUAUGGAAGGAAUAAGGGAUGAGGUCAACCUUGAACCUAAGGGUGGGGGUAGGGGCAGAGUUUUGUUAGAGUGUGGGGUAACCCUCCUCUGAGCAGUCCUUACCUUGAAUUAUGGAGUCAUAGAAUGUCAAGGCUGGGAGAGGCCCUAGAACAGGGAAGGUCAGAGCCGGGAGGGAACCUUCACACGAGGCUCUAAGAAAGUAGAAGCUUAAUGUCAGAGGGACCUGGCUGGUAGAUAACAGAACCCACAAUGUCAGACGUUGAUUACAACAUUUAUUGGUGGGUUUUGUUUUUCUGUCACUUUCACUGGUGAAUCUCUUCCUCUUCUUCCCUGCUGAAACAAAAAAUAAAACGAGGAAAGACAAAAGACAAAAGAUAAAACGAGGAAAGACUUUGAAGACGUUCCGAAGCUUGGGGCCACUCACUCCCCCAAGAGUAUUGUGGGUAGAUUUCAGGGGGUCUGUGAACUUGGAUGGGAAAAAAAAGAACAGUUUUAUUUUUACUAACCUUUAUCUGAAAGUUAGCAGUUCCUUCAAUUAUAAAUAAAGAUGACAAAUACGGUUCUGAGAAGGGGUCCAUAGGCUGCACCAGACUGAGGGCCAGAGGAGUCCGGGGAAAAAAAAAGGUAAAGAACUCCAGCUCUGGGCCAAACCCCUCAUUCUGCAGAUGGGGAAACUGAGGCCCAGGGAAGGGAGUCCUACACUGUUAUUGGCAAAAGGGGGACAGAAAGCGAUGUCUCAUUGUCAAGCCCAGCAUGCUUUUCCUUGACCUGUGAUACUCCCUUGACCCGCACACACGAACACUCCUUUUCCAGCCUGAGCUCUUUUCCUGUGAGGCGCUGGAGUGUGCCUAGAUAAAGAUACCUCCCCCCUCUCCUCCACCUCCCGGCCAUCCCACAGCUCAUCAGCCCUCAGGGAAAAAGAAACCCUUCCAUUAAUACCCAUUGUCCUUCAGACUGUCUCCCACUGAACCCUGAUAAAAUCGUUUGAAGUCCCAGAGUCCCCUCCACACCAGGCUCUCCGCACCGGCUGCCUCCAGCUAGGGAGGUAUACAGAGGAGGUCAGAAGUUUGCCUGCGAUCACCCAGAAUGUCUGCUAACUAUAGUUCAGGCUGCCUGACCACCAACUCCAACCCGGGGCCACCAUUAUCCUCCUCCUGCUUACACCAUCUGAAUUUUUCACUGCAUCUAAAACACAGGGUGGGACAAUGAAUUGUCAUCAGCUCCAGGGAAGCAGGGUCAGGACAGGGAGGAAGGGGUGGCUCGAGGAGAAGGUUUUGGGCAGAGGGGGAGUUCAAAUCCGGCCUCAGACACUUGACACUUACUAGCUGUGUGACCUCAGGCACUGUAGAUACCUCCCUGUGCCUCAGUUUCCUCAUCGGUAAAUUAAAGGCCUUUCUUUCUCUCAAUUUUUAAUUAGAGGGAGGGGGAUUAGUAAUAGUGAUGCUAAAGAAAGGAGGACCAUUAUAACAGUUUUUAAAAUGCCCAGAAGAAAAUAAAAGGAAUCAUAGACAAGCUUUGAAAAUUAGAAUUUAUUAUAGACUUUUGUUUUUUAGAAAGCUAGACUGGCAGGCCUCUGAGAUGUCUUCUAAAACCAUGAUUCUGUGUAAAAAGGAUAAAUUUGGGGCAGUAAGUUUCCUUGUUGAAACAAAAAAAUAAAACAAGAGGAAAGAAACAGAAAAGCCUGAUCAGGCUUUGAAGACGUUCCUAAGCUCGGGGCCACUCACCCCCGCAAGGAGACUGUGGGUAGAUUUCAGGGGGUCUGUGAACUAACGGCUUUAUUUUUACUAACCUUUAUCUGAAAUUUAAAGAUGUUUAAAGAUUCUGAA